UAGGGAAUCUUCCGCAAUGGACGCAAGUCUGACGGAGCAACGCCGCGUGAGUGAAGAAGGAUUUCGGUUCGUAAAACUCUGUUGUUAGAGAAGAACAGCGCAUAGAGUAACUGUUAUGCGUGUGACGGUAUCUAACCAGAAAGCCACGGCUAACUACGUGCCAGCAGCCGCGGUAAUACGUAGGUGGCAAGCGUUGUCCGGAUUUAUUGGGCGUAAAGCGAGCGCAGGCGGUCAAUUAAGUCUGAUGUGAAAGCCCCCGGCUCAACCGGGGAGGGUCAUUGGAAACUGGUUGACUUGAGUGCAGAAGAGGAGAGUGGAAUUCCAUGUGUAGCGGUGAAAUGCGUAGAUAUAUGGAGGAACACCGGUGGCGAAAGCGGCUAUCUGGUCUGUAACUGACGCUGAGGCUCGAAAGCGUGGGGAGCGAACAGG
This 429-nucleotide ribosomal RNA is filed under the name Bacteroidota bacterium. RNAcentral's name for it is "Bacteroidetes bacterium partial 16S ribosomal RNA". It matches the Rfam family "Bacterial small subunit ribosomal RNA", at positions 355 to 776 of the family's 1533-position model. Lineage: Bacteria; Pseudomonadati; Bacteroidota. The record is from RNAcentral.